RNAcentral lists this small RNA (564 nucleotides) under Pongo abelii (Sumatran orangutan). RNAcentral describes it as "processed transcript". The record is from RNAcentral. Lineage: Eukaryota; Metazoa; Chordata; Mammalia; Primates; Hominidae.
AGACUCGGCGCCCGCCGCGAGCGGGAAGGAGGCGUGUGCGCGGCCAUGUGCGUUUAGCGCAGCGCGCUCUGCUCUCAGCCCCCGGCCGCGACCCUGCGAGCCCCUGAAGCCCGGGUAACCAAGCCGCCGCCGCCGGCGCCGGCUCGCGGGGACCCGCCACCGUGGAAGCCCCGCGCCCGCAGCGCGUUCCUGGCGAGUCGGAGGUAAAGUGAACAGAGUUAUCUGUGACAUUCCAUCAGGCACCUAUGUAAGGAAAUCGUACCGUAAUAACUCACCAUGGCGUAUGGAGUGCCAAGAAAGAACACGGUGAAAACCAUUUUGUGGGGCAGUUGUUAUAAUGUGGUCCUACACUGUCACACAGGCUAGAAUGUCGUGCACCUCCUAGGCUUGAGUGAUCUUCCCACCUCAGCCUCCUGAGUAGCUGGGACCACAGGCAUACACCACUGUGCCCGGAACCUUGGGAUCUUGCACUGCUUGCAAAGACCUGGUACACGAACCUAGCCAAUAUCAAGUUACCUUUCUUGGAAGAAAUUUCAUUUGGUGGUUCUGUGCAGCUCACAAAAU